Ribosomal RNA from Nosema bombycis CQ1, 230 nucleotides. It matches the Rfam family "Microsporidia small subunit ribosomal RNA", at positions 1083 to 1311 of the family's 1311-position model. Lineage: Eukaryota; Fungi; Microsporidia; Nosematidae. The record is from Rfam.
UAUUUGAUAUUAUGAGGGAUAAUAUAAUGUAAGAGAUAUUUGAACAUGGAAUUGCUAGUAAAUUUUAUUUAAUAAGUAGAAUUGAAUGAGUUCCUGUUCUUUGUACACACCGCCCGUCGCUAUCUAAGAUGGUAUUAUCUAUGAACAAAUUUAUAAAGUGAAUAGAUAGUACUAGAUCUGAUAUAAGUCGUAACAUGGUUGCUGUUGGAGAACCAUUAGCAGGAUCAUAA